RNAcentral lists this ribosomal RNA (1435 nucleotides) under uncultured organism. RNAcentral's name for it is "SSU rRNA". It matches the Rfam family "Bacterial small subunit ribosomal RNA". The record is from RNAcentral.
GCUAUCGACAGGCUUAACACAUGCAAGUCGAGGGGCAGCACAGGUAGCAAUACCGGGUGGCGACCGGCGCACGGGUGAGUAACGCGUAUGCAACUUGCCUAUCAGAGGGGGAUAACCCGGCGAAAGUCGGACUAAUACCGCAUGAAGCAGGGGCCCCGCAUGGGGAUAUUUGCUAAAGAUUCAUCGCUGAUAGAUAGGCAUGCGUUCCAUUAGGCAGUUGGCGGGGUAACGGCCCACCAAACCGACGAUGGAUAGGGGUUCUGAGAGGAAGGUCCCCCACAUUGGUACUGAGACACGGACCAAACUCCUACGGGAGGCAGCAGUGAGGAAUAUUGGUCAAUGGGCGUAAGCCUGAACCAGCCAAGUCGCGUGAGGGAUGAAGGUUCUAUGGAUCGUAAACCUCUUUUAUAAGGGAAUAAAGUGCGGGACGUGUCCCGUUUUGUAUGUACCUUAUGAAUAAGGAUCGGCUAACUCCGUGCCAGCAGCCGCGGUAAUACGGAGGAUCCGAGCGUUAUCCGGAUUUAUUGGGUUUAAAGGGUGCGUAGGCGGCCUUUUAAGUCAGCGGUGAAAGUCUGUGGCUCAACCAUAGAAUUGCCGUUGAAACUGGGAGGCUUGAGUAUGUUUGAGGCAGGCGGAAUGCGUGGUGUAGCGGUGAAAUGCUUAGAUAUCACGCAGAACCCCGAUUGCGAAGGCAGCCUGCCAAGCCAUUACUGACGCUGAUGCACGAAAGCGUGGGGAUCAAACAGGAUUAGAUACCCUGGUAGUCCACGCAGUAAACGAUGAUCACUAGCUGUUUGCGAUACACUGUAAGCGGCACAGCGAAAGCGUUAAGUGAUCCACCUGGGGAGUACGCCGGCAACGGUGAAACUCAAAGGAAUUGACGGGGGCCCGCACAAGCGGAGGAACAUGUGGUUUAAUUCGAUGAUACGCGAGGAACCUUACCCGGGUUUGAACGCAUUUUGACAGCUCUGGAAACAGAGCCUCUAGCAAUAGCGAUUUGCGAGGUGCUGCAUGGUUGUCGUCAGCUCGUGCCGUGAGGUGUCGGCUUAAGUGCCAUAACGAGCGCAACCCUUGCCACUAGUUACUAACAGGUAAAGCUGAGGACUCUGGUGGGACUGCCAGCGUAAGCUGCGAGGAAGGCGGGGAUGACGUCAAAUCAGCACGGCCCUUACAUCCGGGGCGACACACGUGUUACAAUGGCGUGGACAAAGGGAGGCCACCUGGCGACAGGGAGCGAAUCCCCAAACCACGUCUCAGUUCGGAUCGGAGUCUGCAACCCGACUCCGUGAAGCUGGAUUCGCUAGUAAUCGCGCAUCAGCCAUGGCGCGGUGAAUACGUUCCCGGGCCUUGUACACACCGCCCGUCAAGCCAUGGGAGCCGGGGGUACCUGAAGUCCGUAACCGAAAGGAUCGGCCUAGGGUAAAACUGGUGACUG